AGUGACGAUAGCCUCGGAGAUACACCUGUACCCAUGCCGAACACAGCAGUUAAGCUCUAGAACGCCUGAAGUAGUUGGGGGUUGCCCCCUGUUAGAUACGGUAGUCGCUUAGCA
This 114-nucleotide ribosomal RNA is filed under the name Streptococcus suis TL13. The record is from RNAcentral. Lineage: Bacteria; Bacillati; Bacillota; Bacilli; Lactobacillales; Streptococcaceae.